Molecule: long non-coding RNA, 737 nt
Filed under: Cyanistes caeruleus (blue tit)
Lineage: Eukaryota; Metazoa; Chordata; Aves; Passeriformes; Paridae
Description: lncRNA (ENSCCEG00000002827.1)
Source: RNAcentral
AUGUAUUACCCAGCCCUCGUGGUACACUCUGUUCCAGGAAAGCAUGGUAGCAAUGCUCAUCAUCCCAUCCUUGAUGGAAGCACCGAGGGAAAUAUCUCCCAGCAUGAGACCUGCACUGGAAAUACUCACAUAAAGCCAGGUCCUCAAGAAAAUGGAGAGAAGAUUGGACCUUUCAGUGCCUCACACCUGAGCCAGACCCCAGUAAGAGUCACCCAGCAAAAGUUUGCUAGUUUUUCUGCAGCAAGAGCAUCCCAAGCAUUUGGAACCCAUCUGCAGCAACUGCACAUCCAACAUUGCCCAAAAGGAUGUGAUGGAGGGAUCAGAGAUUUAAACUUCCUAUCCCCUGUGGCUCCUUACAAGAAUCAUUAAAAGCAGGCUUUUCAAACUUAUCCUGUGAUGAUGAGACACUGCUUUUUUUUCCCCAUCCAAUCUCUACAUUUUCAUUUCCAGAUCUGCCCUUUGGCAGAAAGAACUGCUCAUGGAAAGACAGUCCUGCAUCACUGUUGGUAAAAUGCUGAUUUUUUUCAUGCCAUGCAGCUUCUAUGAAACAGGAAAUAUUACAGCCUUUAGAAAUCCAUAUAAGAAUUGUAAUAGUAGGGCUAAUUAUAAAAAAUGCUGACUUUUCUGGGCCUCACAUACAAAUCUGUGCUUUUUAGAUGUGCUUUUUGUCUCUGCAGGAGUCUGACUCUUUAAAUUAAAGAAAAGAAGUAUACAAGCAAUUAGAAUCUGACUUUUUG